GACGAACGCUGGCGGCGUGCUUAACACAUGCAAGUCGAACGGAAAGGCCCUGCUUUUGUGGGGUGCUCGAGUGGCGAACGGGUGAGUAACACGUGAGUAACCUGCCCUUGACUUUGGGAUAACUUCAGGAAACUGGGGCUAAUACCGGAUAGGAGCUCCUGCUGCAUGGUGGGGGUUGGAAAGUUUCGGCGGUUGGAGAUGGACUCGCGGCUUAUCAGCUUGUUGGUGGGGUAGUGGCUUACCAAGGCUUUGACGGGUAGCCGGCCUGAGAGGGUGACCGGCCACAUUGGGACUGAGAUACGGCCCAGACGCCUACGGGAGGCAGUAGUGGGGAAUAUUGCACAAUGGGCGGAAGCCUGAUGCAGCAACGCCGCGUGCGGGAUGACGGCCUUCGGGUUGUAAACCGCUUUCGCCUGUGACGAAGCGUGAGUGACGGUAAUGGGUAAAGAAGCAACGGCUAACUACGUG
This 468-nucleotide ribosomal RNA is filed under the name uncultured bacterium. Its description in RNAcentral is "partial 16S ribosomal RNA". It matches the Rfam family "Bacterial small subunit ribosomal RNA", at positions 28 to 507 of the family's 1533-position model. The record is from RNAcentral.